AUUGAACGCUGGCGGCAUGCCUUACACAUGCAAGUCGAACGGUAACAGGUCUUCGGAUGCUGACGAGUGGCGAACGGGUGAGUAAUACAUCGGAACGUGCCUAGUAGUGGGGGAUAACUACUCGAAAGAGUGGCUAAUACCGCAUGAGAUCUACGGAUGAAAGCAGGGGAUCGCAAGACCUUGUGCUACUAGAGCGGCCGAUGGCAGAUUAGGUAGUUGGUGGGAUAAAAGCUUACCAAGCCGACGGUCUGUAGCUGGUCUGAGAGGACGAUCAGCCACACUGGGACUGAGACACGGCCCAGGCUCCUACGGGAGGCAGCAGUGGGGAAUUUUGGACAAUGGGCGCAAGCCUGAUCCAGCAAUGCCGCGUGCAGGAUGAAGGCCUUCGGGUUGUAAACUGCUUUUGUACGGAACGAAAAGCCCUGGGUUAAUACCCUGGGGUCAUGACGGUACCGUAAGAAUAAGCACCGGCUAACUACGUGCCAGCAGCCGCGGUAA
This 498-nucleotide ribosomal RNA is filed under the name uncultured bacterium. Its description in RNAcentral is "partial 16S ribosomal RNA". It matches the Rfam family "Bacterial small subunit ribosomal RNA", at positions 30 to 523 of the family's 1533-position model. The record is from RNAcentral.